GAUGAAGAACGUAUCGAAAUGCGAUAAGUAAUGUGAAUUGCAGAAUUCAGUGAAUCAUCGAAUCUUUGAACGCACCUUGCGCUCCUUGGUAUUCCGAGGAGCAUGCCUGUUUGAGUGUCAUGAAAUUCUCAACCUUUUCAGCUUUCUUUGUUGAUCAGGCUUGGAUGUGGGAGUAUGCGGGCUUCUCAGAAGUCGGCUCUCCUGAAAUGCAUUAGCGGGACCUUUGUUGCCUGGCUUUGGUGUGAUAAUUAUCUACGCCAUUGUAGUCAAGCAGCUUAAAAUGAGGUUUCAGCUUCUAACCGUCUCCCCUGAGACAACUUUUUGACAAUUUGACCUCAAAUCAGGUAGGACUACCCGCUGAACUUAAGCAUAUCAAUAAGCGGAGGA
This 387-nucleotide unclassified non-coding RNA is filed under the name soil metagenome. RNAcentral's name for it is "partial contains 5.8S ribosomal RNA, internal transcribed spacer 2, and large subunit ribosomal RNA". The stretch from base 1 to 120 matches the Rfam family "5.8S ribosomal RNA", at positions 35 to 154 of the family's 154-position model. The record is from RNAcentral.